CCUACGAGAGGCAGCAGUGAGGAAUAUUGGUCAAUGGACGCAAGUCUGAACCAGCCAUGCCGCGUGCAGGAAGACGGCUCUAUGAGUUGUAAACUGCUUUUGUACGAGGGUAAACGCAGAUACGCGUAUCUGUCUGAAAGUAUCGUGCGAAUAAGGAUCGGCUAACUCCGUGCCAGCAGCCGCGGUAAUACGGAGGAUUCAAGCUUUAUCCGGAUUUAUUGGGUUUAAAGGGUGCGUAGGCGGUCGGAUAAGUUAGAGGUGAAAUCCCGAGGCUCAACUUCGGAAUUGCCUCUGAUACUGUUCGGCUAGAGAGUAGUUGCGGUAGGCGGAAUGUAUGGUGUAGCGGUGAAAUGCUUAGAGAUCAUACAGAACACCGAUUGCGAAGGCAGCUUACCAAGCUACUUCUGACGUUGAGGCACGAAAGCGUGGGGAGCAAACAGGAUUAGAUACCCUUGUAGUC
Molecule: ribosomal RNA, 460 nt
Filed under: uncultured bacterium
Lineage: Bacteria
Description: partial 16S ribosomal RNA
Rfam family: Bacterial small subunit ribosomal RNA
Source: RNAcentral